Molecule: long non-coding RNA, 597 nt
Organism: Heterocephalus glaber (naked mole-rat)
Lineage: Eukaryota; Metazoa; Chordata; Mammalia; Rodentia; Bathyergidae
Source: RefSeq, a predicted model, not a curated record
UGAGCGGGGCAGUUCUUCUAAAGUGGCUCAGGAAUUAAGGGCGCGGCUUCAAGGACUGCGGAAGACGCAGGCAGGUGAAGGACACCGGGUCUGCCACAAGGUGGCAGUGGAAUGUGGUAGAGAAACCACCCGGGAGGCGGGGGAACAAUCGAACCUACCCCACCAUUGAAUGUAGAUUGGUGUGUCAAUGUUUCAGGUCUUUUCAAUGGACAGAGCUGGAAUAGGGUCUCACUAUGUAGUUCAGGUUGGCCUUGAACUCAUAGCCCAGGCUGGCUUUAAACUUGCAGUGAUUCUCCUGCCUCAGCCUACAAGGUACUGGGAUUAUAGUACUCUGCAUACUGUACCACUACGCCCAGACAUGUUUUCUUUUUAAUCAAUUGGUGGACUUCCGCUCAUACUUUGAGACCUAGAUUGUCAUACCUCUGUGAAGACUUUGCUGACAACCGGAACAUGUUCUUUACUCCACUUCCUUGCUGUUACUUUACCAUGGAUAUAUGAAUAACAUGGUACUUAAUAUACACAGCAUAUUUAUUGGAUAAAUGACAUAAACGUUCACAUUUAAAAGCCAUUAUUUUUUGCAAAUCAAUAAAUGUAAUA